CCAACGAAUUUCUGCGCUCAUCCUUGAAUCGAGAUCGGCGCUUUCAAGAGCGGGUUCACAGCCUUUCGCUCGAGCUGUGCGUACAGAAUUAGCGUAACAUACGGAGAAAACUUCGCCGGCUGUUCUCCGGUUGAUUCGGAAAUGACAUACAGGUAGCAUGCGGAUAAAACGAUUUGACGGUUGAGACACGCGCAAUUGUCCUGCUCACUCAGACUCUGUUAACUGACAACAGCACUUCAAGGGCUGUCCGGUCCGGGCUUCUUGCGUUUUCGCAAUAGCUAGUUGAUGUUCAGAGGCAUCAGCGGCACAUACUUGUCGCUGGGACGGAAAUUGUAUUGGGAGCACAAGCGGUUCGACUCGGACUCGGCGUAUCCGUUCCUGAAACAAAUGAAACUCGUCACAGAAAGCACCGAGGGUCCCCAAAUCCCACCACCACCAGCGGCGUAAAUAAACCAACACCAAAAUCGACGCCAACACCCUGCAGAAAUUUGAUCUUUAGAAGAUUACUACAGUUUCAUGAAGCUCCGCCGAGAUGAUAUUGCUGUUUCUGUUUAAGGCCCUCGCGCAAUGCUCUCAGGAACGUCUUCAGGAAUAGAAUCUUUUUGGUGUGGAAGUCUCGCGGUACCGGUGCCUCGAACUUUGCCGAGUUCUCCCACUCCAACGGGCAACUAAAGGAUGUCCCGCGUAAGAAUCGUUAAGAAUUUCUUGCGAUCGAUGCAGGCAAUUUUUAUUUCACAUAAAAGUUCGCGGUGUCUACUAAUCGAUGAUAAAAUUGGCCGAACGAUACGCCAUGGUUGAACGCCAGCGAUACGAGAAAAGUAGUCUUACCUCUGCCAUUGGGAGCACGGGCGUCUCUCUUUGAAGCAGGUGACCUGUAUUACAUUGAAGAAGAGAGCGCCGAGGGUGUUCGCUACCUCCGAGUUCAGGUUUUGUAGACAUCUGCGGAACUUGGCGUCGCAGUCGCAAUGGGAUCUGGUGAACGGCGAAUUGUUACAAAUCCCGUGGAUGCACUCUUGCGGGCCGAGCGUGACCGGGCAAUGAUCGUGUUCUCUGCAACAGGCGUCUUCCGACGCGUGUUUUCCCAACUCGUCGUACGACGUGGCCAAAGUACCCGGUCCGCACCAUUUUGUUCCCGGAUAGAUUAGUCCACCGCCUGCGGGCUGGUUCUGUCGACAAUUUAUUCGUUUCAGUCGUUUACCGAUUAUCGUUAUAUUGUUCAUGUUUCACUAUCGUUUUACCCUAUUUACUCUUCCUUGUCAAUUGAUCUCUCUCUUUGAAUCUUACUUCCGAUCAAAGAUCGGUCACUCGAAGCCAAGAAAGAAAGAAAGAAAGAGAGAAAUCGGUAAUCUCGUUCAAGGAAUAAUCUCGUAAACAUAAUCAUAAAACACAAUCUCGUAAACAUAAUCUCGUUAACGAUCGAAGCGAACAGUCGAAUUCGGAGAACGCGGCGCGAUGAAGCGAGAGAACGUCCCGAUCGAGCAAUUUGCGCGAAAGGAGCUUGACGCGAUGGGUUUCAGAGGCUGAUGUGCAGGGUAACGCUGUUAUAUUCGACUCGAAUCGGAAGGACGUUGGUUGCGUCACAGUCAGAUCAACUCGUUACGACGUUACCGCGUAAAAUGAUUUUACAGAUCGCCGAUGAACAUUCAGGGAGACCGACCGUUUUCGUUUAGAGUUCAAGAGCAGCAGCCUGCGGUGUUAAGAGAAUGUACGCGAAUAAGCGUUGAACAACGGGUGGGACAAAUAUUAUGAUAUUACGAGAUCGCGGAGAGACAGUGGAGAGGCAAGCGGGAUUCGUGUCUCUGAAAUGUUAAUCGGUUUUACGAAGGUGUCCGCGUCCGAGUCGAAGAUCUGACUGUGCGAGCAAGGCCACGCUCUACCUUUCCCUUGUCCCGGGAGGCUUUGCAAGUUUCUUCGAGGUCGGCGACCAGGUUGCUGGACAUUUGCCGAACUUUCUUAGGGUCGGCGCCGAGCACCAUCCUCUGUAUGACGCCGCGGUCGGUGUACAGGGCGCAGAACGGCGCAUCCGUUUUCAGUUCAACCAUCCUAGACAUAGCCAUGUCUGCCACUAGAACGCUGCCCUCGGCUUCGUGGCUCCAGAUCGUUGCCGCGAGCAGUACCGCUAUCGCCAGCAUCUGCAAAAUCGAAUCGACAAUGUUAGAACAGCAAGAUUCAAUAAUCUCCUUGAUCGAAAAUUCGCUAAAACCAUGCUAAUCGCGUUCAUUGCCGUUCAGCGACGGUCAUCAAUUACAUCACUCGGCGAUCCUUUCUACACGGUUCGAGUGGAAAGACCUCGGUUUUAUUUGGAAACUUCCUAUCGCAUCCAACAAGAAUUUCGGAUUCCAUCGAUCUAUCGGGGCAAGGAUCACCGACAGGCGCGUUAAUAUAUUGAAUGAGGACACUCGGUCAACGAUUCGCAGAUGUUGCACAAUGUUUGAACCCCAUCGCGUCGACUCCACAAAUAUGUAUCGACAUCGAUGGUACUCUUUCGGUUAAACACGCCGAGACGAUGCAUUUUACCGAUUCCGAGCAUACCAUUUGUUUAGCCGGCUAGCCAAAGAUGUUUUAACGUUGAAAUUGUUGUCAACAAUUCCGAACCCAGCUUUUAGCAUAUAGGGGGUUUGCUUCGUAUCGGAUCUCUUUACGGCAAUUUAUUUAGCGUUCGGAGUAAAAAUAGACCCAUGGAAAUCUACCGGAGGGUCCAUUUCCAUGCUGCCGUGUCCCCACGAAGGUCCAAGGGGACCUUCCCUUCCAGGACCCAGGGAGCUCUAAUGAGAACAGAUUGCAUUACGUGACAGGGCAGUAUGGGUUUUUCUUUGUUAAUCUAUCGUUAAUCUAUCGUUUCGACACACGUCAGUCCGCCGGCUUGCAGACACAGAUUGCCCUGCAGGAAUUCCGGUCGCUUUAACAAGCCAACCGGGGGAUGGGGGGGGGAGGGUAGAUCGAUUAAAGCGAGUCGAACGAUUCGUCGUACCUGUGCUCGACAAGACGAAAUAGGUUUUUAACGAAACAAGAGGAUCCAGAAUGCGUUCGAACCGAAUUAAACUUGCCACUCGAUGGCCUAUCGAUAGCCAAGGAAAUCUCGGUCGCCUCGAAUUUCUACCCUCUAUCUUUCCAUCUAGAUACACCCCUGCCCGUAAAUAACCAGACAUUUACUUAUUUCACUGAUCGGGAAUUUAGACUGUCGGUUUCUUCAGAGCUGUCUUACGCAGGAUGGAAUCUCCGACCGAUGAUGCGUUCAAAUUUCGAACGACUCGCCUCAAGGCGACCAAACGGUAGAUACAACUUAGAUAUCGAUCGCGCGGUUGUCCUUGCAGGUAUAAGCAAGUUUUUUAAAAUUAAUUCAUGGAAACGAUCGUGCUAAUGAUGCCGCUGUACGAUUCCAUUAUUAGCAUAAUCCUUCGUUUCAGUGUCAAGACUCGAGUAACACGGUUUUUGCUCGUUCUACGCUCUGUUCUCGCAUUUCCUGUAACGUUGUUCACAUUGCAAAAUGCAAAGCAACGCGAACAAACGCUGGGAGAUCUCGUUAUUUAAUAAGUUUAAUAAGUUUCCUUGGUUGGUUACUGUCGUCGUUAUUCGUUCCCUUCGUAGUGAAAAGUAUAGAAAUGCUUACGGCUUGUUCAGGAAAAUAGACACAAAUUGGAAGACACUGUUCGGCCCAAGAUCGAAUCUCUUCAGGAUUCACCGGACUCCGAGCCGGAAGAUGAACAGGUAGAAGAAAUCAAGAAACCAAGUUCACAGAAACUCCGCGGAAUUGCCGAUGUAUCGUCUCGCUUGUCUUUCCGAAGAUUGCAAGUUGAACGAAUUCGAAGUGUCCGAGACUCGUGAAACGAAGAAAACUCGCGUAGGAACCCCCGAACCAAUGACUCGGAGGCUCGCGAACCGACUGAUGCUCGUUUCACUUCUCCCGAGAACCGUCUCCAAAGGUCAGAUCGAUUCAAGGUCGCCGGGAGAUAAGAAACAAAGGCCAAAGACAUCGCUCCGGUUGUCCUUCCUUCGAGUCGGAGCCGAAAUCGGCGUCUAUUGCGCGACGAAUGAAUCGCGAAUAAACAGUCUGCAACCCGAAGGAUCUCGAGUGUUGCGUUUUUUGAGCAGAUUGCGCAAGAUGAAACGCGAGGUGCCGAAAAACUCGAAAGGGGAACCGUUUAUGGUCCGCUCGACAGCAAUAAGCCUUUUGGCUGUACGUACGAAGAAGACUAAGAGACACCGAAAGAAACGAGCUCUCGCUAUUGAUAAACACGGCUGGAAAUGAAGACGAUUGUUUCGGUUGUUGAUCUCUCUGACGCAAUUUCGAGCAACAGGUGACACGUACUGGUGAUACAGAACGAAAUCCCACUGGAAUGUCUACUAAAAAUAAGAAGUAUGCGAAACAUUUGAUGCAACGAAUCUCUUGCAAGACUAGGACAAACGCUUUCUCUUUAUCUUGUAACAAACACCUCAACUGUUUGAACAAACGAUCGCGAAGAGUGCUUGAUAAACGAGGGACGUUGUCGAGUCUUGAUCGAGGGACUUUCAGAUGAGACAAUCAGAUCGAGCAGAGUGUUUCAGUCCGAUGCGAGAGGCUGGUCUUGAAAAGAUUGCGCGAAAUGAAAGCGGAGAUCGAGAAUCUGGCACACGAGGCCUCAUCGACGAACUUGUCUCUUGAACCUGUCAAUUACAUUGACCGAACAACCCUAUCUAAUCAACGCGGUGACUCUGACCCACCUUCGUCGCACGUUUCACACGCGUCCCGCGUCGGCCCGAGGACCGGUCAUUACGAAUUAUUAUCGCUCGCACCGCUCUCCACGCAGUCAUCGUUCACGCUCGAUUCUGUAUUAAACAUUACCGCCGAAUAUUCCACAGUUCUUUUAAAUCGAAGCAUUUUUCGUAGUGCAAUCGGAUGAUCUCGUUUAGAAUCAAUACUUGAAAGAACGUUUCCAAGCUUCAUUGACAAUCCUUUUGCGGUUGAGGAUCAACGGAUAACACCUUAUUGGCGAUAGAAUCGAUUUGCAAGUAUUCGGAAACCGUGGCGAACGAACGCGAGAAACAAACGAGCGCCUUGAAGAACCAAUCCACUGCACGAGAUACAUGCAAAGCGAUCAAUUAACGCAUUCGCUACAGCCAUUCACUCGGUAGCCGUUCGAUCUUCAUACGGAAAUACUAGAAUGAAGUAAACAAAUUGUAUGAAAAUUGCAACUCAGACUUGCAAUUCAGGCAGUGAACGGGUUCAACUAGUACCUGCGUCUUGUCGGAGGUCUCAAGAAUAGAAGAUCGAGCAAAUCACACAGUUCAUGGAACCGGAAAAAUGUCUUAAUAAUAACGCAAACACCGGGUAAAUGUCGUCCAGUAAAAGAGCCGCGAUAGGCCGUUACGAGGUAUCGCGAGACGUCUAUUAUCAAAUUAACGGUAAGACGGUUCGAGUGAAAAAUAUGAGAAAAUCGAUCAAAUUACUCUGAUAGAGAAUCGUUGAGGCGCGCUGCCGGAUACGACGGUGUAUCGACGGUGUACCAAUGCGUCGGACACUGCGCCCGCCUGUGGUCUGUGUUCUCGACGACUGUCGAGGGAGGAAAGGACACGCGAUCCGCGAUCCUACUCGGAAUCGAAUCUGCAGCGGAUUGACAACAAACCAACGAAAUGACGCGAAGCUAGCUCACUAACAGGAAGGCCGAGGUGGACGAGUUCGCCAGCUGCUGGCAGCCUUACCACCAUCGUCGACCACCACCACCACCACCCUCGCGACUUCUGCGCACCCACCCCCCAACGACUGCAACGCGACUCGGGCUGCUGCAGUGCGCAACAACCCUCCGGAUGCUGUGUUCGAACAAAUUUAUCGGCAACGUUCCUACGAAAGUUCAAUGGAGCAUCAGGACAUGUUGUUCAGACAAUUUUUCAGCAAGGAUAAUGUGAAUGACGAUAGUGGGUCAUUACAAAACGAGAGAGGUAGAAAAAAGGCAGAUUGACGUACGCUAAUAAACUAGACAAAUUUUUAUUUCGUA
Megalopta genalis is the source of this 5972-nucleotide non-coding RNA. Lineage: Eukaryota; Metazoa; Arthropoda; Insecta; Hymenoptera; Halictidae. The record is from RefSeq and is a predicted model, not a curated record.